UGAGUGUCUAUUGAAAUGGUCCUGUCCAC
RNAcentral lists this non-coding RNA (29 nucleotides) under Mus musculus (house mouse). The record is from RNAcentral. Lineage: Eukaryota; Metazoa; Chordata; Mammalia; Rodentia; Muridae.